CAGCAGUCGAGGGGUAACAGAGGAGCUUGCUUUUGCUGACGACCGGCGCACGGGUGCGUAACGCGUAUACAAUCUGCCUUGCACUAAGGGAUAGCCCAGAGAAAUUUGGAUUAAUAUCUUAUGGUUUAUGUAUAUGGCAUCAUAUUUAUAAUAAAGGUUACGGUGUAAGAUGAGUAUGCGUCCCAUUAGUUUGUUGGUAAGGUAACGGCUUACCAAGACUACGAUGGGUAGGGGCCCUGAGAGGGGGAUCCCCCACACUGGUACUGAGACACGGACCAGACUCCUACGGGAGGCAGCAGUGAGGAAUAUUGGACAAUGGAGGAGACUCUGAUCCAGCCAUGCCGCGUGCAGGAAGACGGUCCUAUGGAUUGUAAACUGCUUUUAUACAGGAAGAAUAAGGACUACGUGUAGUCUGGUGACGGUACUGUAAGAAUAAGGACCGGCUAACUCCGUGCCAGCAGCCGCGGUAAUACGGAGGGUCCGAGCGUUAUCCGGAAUUAUUGGGUUUAAAGGGUCCGUAGGCGGGCUGUUAAGUCAGGGGUGAAAGUUUGCAGCUCAACUGUAGAAUUGCCUUUGAUACUGACGGUCUUGAAUUAUUGUGAAGUGGUUAGAAUAUGUAGUGUAGCGGUGAAAUGCAUAGAUAUUACAUAGAAUACCGAUUGCGAAGGCAGAUCACUAACAAUUGAUUGACGCUGAUGGACGAAAGCGUGGGUAGCGAACAGGAUUAGAUACCCUGGUAGUCCACGCCGUAAACGAUGGAUACUAGCUGUUUGGAUUUCGAUCUGAGCGGCCAAGCGAAAGUGAUAAGUAUCCCACCUGGGGAGUACGUUCGCAAGAAUGAA
Molecule: ribosomal RNA, 842 nt
Filed under: Cellulophaga lytica
Lineage: Bacteria; Pseudomonadati; Bacteroidota; Flavobacteriia; Flavobacteriales; Flavobacteriaceae
Description: bacterial SSU rRNA
Rfam family: Bacterial small subunit ribosomal RNA
Source: RNAcentral